Molecule: ribosomal RNA, 253 nt
Filed under: uncultured bacterium
Lineage: Bacteria
Description: partial 16S ribosomal RNA
Rfam family: Bacterial small subunit ribosomal RNA
Source: RNAcentral
UACGUAGGUGGCAAGCGUUGUCCGGAUUUAUUGGGUUUAAAGGGUGCGUAGGCGGCCCUGUAAGUCAGUGCUGAAAUAUCCCGGCUUAACCGGGAGGGUGGCAUUGAUACUGCGGGGCUAGAGUACAGAUGAGGUAGGCGGAAUUGACGGUGUAGCGGUGAAAUGCUUAGAUAUCGUCAAGAACACCUAUAGCGAAGGCAGCUUACUAGGCUGUAACUGACGCUGAGGAGCGAAAGCAUGGGUAGCAAACAGG